This 84-nucleotide transfer RNA is filed under the name Candidatus Mnemosynella bozhongmuii. RNAcentral's name for it is "tRNA-Leu". It matches the Rfam family "tRNA". Rfam says of the family: Transfer RNA (tRNA) molecules are approximately 80 nucleotides in length. Their secondary structure includes four short double-helical elements and three loops (D, anti-codon, and T loops). The record is from RNAcentral. Lineage: Archaea; Methanobacteriati; Methanobacteriota; Archaeoglobi; Candidatus Mnemosynellales; Candidatus Mnemosynellaceae.
GCGGGGGUUGCCGAGCUGGACAAAGGCGCCAGAUUCAGGGUCUGGUCCCGUAGGGGUCCGGGGGUUCAAAUCCCCUCCCCCGCA